AAAAAAAAAGCAACUCAAAGCAACUCACAUACGUUCAGCUCCUUCUAUUGCACAUACAAGGGAACUGGGAAUAUUUGUGCAGUAGAGUCAUCAUUUGGCUCCAAACAACAAAAGAAUAUUUAUUCAGCCUUUGGGCAUAAUAUAAUCUAAAGAGGGGCAAGUGAGAUUUCAAAAGGUUAAUUUUAUACCAAUACCACUGGACAAAGAUGACUGUCAUAAAAGGAAAGAUCAUGGAAACCUGAGCCUGCAGCUACCCAAAGGAUGGGAGUUGAAGCAGCUGUUUGCACAGGAAAAAGAAAGUUACAAAAGAGAAGAGUUUGCCAAUUAAACGGACAAGCUAGUUCCCAGCCAGCUU
Molecule: long non-coding RNA, 355 nt
Organism: Oxyura jamaicensis (ruddy duck)
Lineage: Eukaryota; Metazoa; Chordata; Aves; Anseriformes; Anatidae
Exons: 3
Source: RefSeq, a predicted model, not a curated record